GGCCUCUUUACAGUGCUAUCUUG
Molecule: microRNA, 23 nt
Filed under: Petromyzon marinus (sea lamprey)
Lineage: Eukaryota; Metazoa; Chordata; Hyperoartia; Petromyzontiformes; Petromyzontidae
Description: pma-miR-103b-5p
Gene: pma-miR-103b-5p
Source: miRBase by way of RNAcentral